CGGUCUGGCGGCGAGUGGCGAACGGGUGAGUAAUGUAUCGGAACGUGCCCAGUAGCGGGGGAUAACUACUCGAAAGAGUAGCUAAUACCGCAUACGCCCUACGGGGGAAAGGGGGGGAUCUUAGGACCUCUCACUAUUGGAGCGGCCGAUAUCGGAUUAGCUAGUUGGUGGGGUAAAGGCUCACCAAGGCGACGAUCCGUAGCUGGUUUGAGAGGACGACCAGCCACACUGGGACUGAGACACGGCCCAGACUCCUACGGGAGGCAGCAGUGGGGAAUUUUGGACAAUGGGGGCAACCCUGAUCCAGCCAUCCCGCGUGUGCGAUGAAGGCCUUCGGGUUGUAAAACACUUUUGGCAGGAAAGAAUCGCACGGAAUAAUACUCUGUGUGGAUGACGGUACCUGCAGAAUAAGCACCGGCUAACUACGUGCCAGCAGCCGCGGUAUACGUAGGGUGCAAGCGUUAAUCGGAAUUACUGGGCGUAAAGCGUGCGCAGGCGGUUCGAAAAGAAAGAUGUGAAACCCCAGGGCUUAACCUUGGAACUGCAUUUUUAACUCUCGAACUAGAGUGCGUCAGAGGGGGGUGGAAUUCCGCGUGUAGCAGUGAAAUGCGUAGAUAUGCGGAGGAACACCGAUGGCGAAGGCAGCCCCCUGGGAUGACACUGACGCUCAUGCACGAAAGCGUGGGGAGCAAACAGGAUU
RNAcentral lists this ribosomal RNA (700 nucleotides) under uncultured beta proteobacterium. RNAcentral's name for it is "bacterial SSU rRNA". It matches the Rfam family "Bacterial small subunit ribosomal RNA", at positions 81 to 779 of the family's 1533-position model. The record is from RNAcentral. Lineage: Bacteria; Pseudomonadati; Pseudomonadota; Betaproteobacteria.